CCGGAGGCCCCGGUCUUAACACAUGCAAGUCGAGCGGUAACAGGAGAAGCUUGCUUCUCGCUGACGAGCGGCGGACGGGUGAGUAAUACUUAGGAAUCUACCUAGUAGUGGGGGAUAGCUCGGGGAAACUCGAAUUAAUACCGCAUACGACCUACGGGAGAAAGGGGGCAACUUGUUGCUCUCGCUAUUAGAUGAGCCUAAGUCGGAUUAGCUAGAUGGUGGGGUAAAGGCCUACCAUGGCGACGAUCUGUAGCUGGUCUGAGAGGAUGAUCAGCCACACCGGGACUGAGACACGGCCCGGACUCCUACGGGAGGCAGCAGUGGGGAAUAUUGGACAAUGGGGGCAACCCUGAUCCAGCCAUGCCGCGUGUGUGAAGAAGGCCUUUUGGUUGUAAAGCACUUUAAGCAGUGAAGAAGACUCCAUGGUUAAUACCCAUGGACGAUGACAUUAGCUGCAGAAUAAGCACCGGCUAACUCUGUGCCAGCAGCCGCGGUAAUACAGAGGGUGCAAGCGUUAAUCGGAAUUACUGGGCGUAAAGCGAGCGUAGGUGGCUUGAUAAGUCAGAUGUGAAAGCCCCGGGCUUAACCUGGGAACGGCAUCUGAUACUGUUAGGCUAGAGUAGGUGAGAGGAAAGGUAGAAUUCCAGGUGUAGCGGUGAAAUGCGUAGAGAUCUGGAGGAAUACCGAUGGCGAAGGCAGCCUUCUGGCAUCAUACUGACACUGAGGUUCGAAAGCGUGGGUAGCAAACAGGAUUAGAUA
This 759-nucleotide ribosomal RNA is filed under the name bacterium. RNAcentral describes it as "bacterial SSU rRNA". It matches the Rfam family "Bacterial small subunit ribosomal RNA", at positions 36 to 784 of the family's 1533-position model. The record is from RNAcentral.